Molecule: long non-coding RNA, 312 nt
Filed under: Elaeis guineensis (African oil palm)
Lineage: Eukaryota; Viridiplantae; Streptophyta; Magnoliopsida; Arecales; Arecaceae
Description: long non-coding RNA (EGUI_LNC065599)
Source: RNAcentral
CCUCCUCCAAGAUGGUCCUCAGAUCGGACAAGGUUUGUCCCUCCCUUUCCAGCGCCUCCCGGAGACUUAGGACCUUGACGAUUUUCUCCUCAAGGUGGGCGGCCCUGGCUAGGCGACCUUCUUCUGCCCGAACUGCCUCCCUCUUGGCGAUCUUCACCGCCUCGACGUUGGCGACGAGCUGGUGCCCAAUCUGCAAGAAAGGUCGGGGAGUCGACAUAAGGGCUAGAGAAUAAAUUAAAGAAGCGGAAAGGAGGAAAAAGAUGAGUUAACCUACUUCGAAGAAAGAUCCCAGAGAGUCUCAAACCCGCUGCU